RNAcentral lists this ribosomal RNA (407 nucleotides) under uncultured bacterium. RNAcentral's name for it is "partial 16S ribosomal RNA". It matches the Rfam family "Bacterial small subunit ribosomal RNA", at positions 30 to 526 of the family's 1533-position model. The record is from RNAcentral.
AUUGAACGCUGGCGGCAGGCCUAACACAUGCAAGUCGAACGGAGUGGCGGACGGGUGAGUAAUGUCUGGGAAACUGCCUGAUGGAGGGGGAUAACGUCCGGAAACGGGCGCUAAUACCGCAUACUAUCAGAUGAGCCUAGGUCGGAUUAGCUAGUUGGUGGUGUAAAGGCCUACCAAGGCGACGAUCAGUAACUGGUCUGAGAGGAGGAUCAGUCAAACUGGAACUGAGACAAGGUCCCGACUCCGACGUGAGGCAGCAGUGGGGAAUAUUGGACAAUGGGCGAAAGCCUGAGCCAGCCAUGCCGCGUGGGUGAAGAAGGUCUUCGGAUUGUAAAGCACUUUAAGUUGGGAGGCGUUACCAACAGAAUAAGCACCGGCUAACUUCGUGCCAGCAGCCGCGGUAAUAC